This 500-nucleotide ribosomal RNA is filed under the name uncultured bacterium. Its description in RNAcentral is "bacterial SSU rRNA". It matches the Rfam family "Bacterial small subunit ribosomal RNA", at positions 30 to 504 of the family's 1533-position model. The record is from RNAcentral.
CGAACGCUGGCGGCGUGGAUUAGGCAUGCAAGUCGAACGAGAAAAGUUUCUUCGGAAACUGAGUAGAGUGGCAAACGGGUGAGUAACGCGUGGGAAACCUGCCUUUUGGUUGGGGAUAACAUCUCUAACGAGGUGCUAAUACCGAAUGAGAUCUUUCCAUCGCAUGGUGGAUUGAUGAAAGACGGCCUCUGAUUUAAGCCGUCACCGAAAGAGGGUCCCGCGUCCCAUUAGCUAGUUGGUGAGGUAACGGCUCACCAAGGCUGCGAUGGGUAGCCGGCCUUAGCGGGUGAUCGGCCACACUGGGACUGAGAUACGGCCCAGACUCCUACGGGAGGCAGCAGUCGAGAAGCUUCCACAAUGGGGGAAACCCUGAUGGAGCGACGCCGCGUGGGUGAUGAAGGUUUUCGGAUCGUAAAGCCCUUUCAGCAGGGAAGAAGGAUACCGGUGUUAAUACCACCGGGAUUAAGACGGUACCUGCAUAAGAAGCUCCGGCUAACUCC